AAGAAAAGAAAAGAAAGAAAAGAAAGAAUUAUCCUCCAGCUGAGUGUCUCAUUGCUGUUGAUUGGCAGAAAAUACCUGCAGCACUUCAGACCAGGUAGAAGAGAACAGAACCAGGUAGAACAGAACAGAACCAGGUAGAAGAGAACAGAACCAGGUAGAACAGAACAGAACCAGGUAGAAGAGAACAGAACCAGGUAGAAGAGAACAGAACCAGGUAGAAGAGGAGGAGAACCAGGUAGAAGAG
Centropristis striata (black sea bass) is the source of this 244-nucleotide long non-coding RNA. RefSeq lists it as uncharacterized. Lineage: Eukaryota; Metazoa; Chordata; Actinopteri; Perciformes; Serranidae. The transcript has 2 exons. The record is from RefSeq and is a predicted model, not a curated record.